ACAAGGUAAAUUCUGCAUGGUUACAGGGUUUAAACAACUCAAAGGGUGAAGUUUAGGUAUUCAUCCAGAGUGGUUAAAGUUAGGGCUAUGGUUUGGGGAAGACAAGGUAUUCAUCCAGAGUGGUUAAAGUUAGGGCUAUGGUUUGGGGAAGACAAGGUAUUCAUCCAGAGUGGUUAAAGUUAGGGCUAUGGUUUGGGGAAGACAAGGUAUUCAUCCAGAGUGGUUAAAGUUAGGGCUAUGGUUUGGGGAAGACAAGGUAUUCAUCCAGAGUGGUUAAAGUUAGGGCUAUGGUUUGGGGAAGACAAGGUAUUCAUCCAGAGUGGUUAAAGUUAGGGCUAUGGUUUGGGGAAGACAAGGUAUUCAUCCAGAGUGGUUAAAGUUAGGGCUAUGGUUUGGGGAAGACAAGGUAUUCAUCCAGAGUGGUUAAAGUUAGGGCUGUGGUUUGGGGAAGACAAGGUAUUCAUCCAGAGUGGUUAAAGUUAGGGCUGUGGUUUGGGGAAGACAAGGUAUUCAUCCAGAGUGGUUAAAGUUAGGGCUGUGGUUUGGGGAAGACAAGGUAUUCAUCCAGAGUGGUUAAAGUUAGGGCUAUGGUUUGGGGAAGACAAGGUAUUCAUCCAGAGUGGUUAGAGUUAGGGCUAUGGUUUGGGGAAGACAAGGUAUUCAUCCAGAGUGGUUAAAGUUAGGGCUGUGGUUUGGGGAAGACAAGGUAUUCAUCCAGAGUGGUUAAAGUUAGGGCUAUGGUUUGGGGAAGACAAGGUAUUCAUCCAGAGUGGUUAAAGUUAGGGCUGUGGUUUGGGGAAGACAAGGUAUUCAUCCAGAGUGGUUAAAGUUAGGGCUAUGGUUUGGGGAAGACAAGGUAUUCAUCCAGAGUGGUUAAAGUUAGGGCUGUGGUUU
This is a long non-coding RNA of Oncorhynchus keta (chum salmon), 894 nucleotides long. RefSeq lists it as uncharacterized. The transcript has 4 exons. The record is from RefSeq and is a predicted model, not a curated record. Lineage: Eukaryota; Metazoa; Chordata; Actinopteri; Salmoniformes; Salmonidae.